This 161-nucleotide ribosomal RNA is filed under the name uncultured bacterium. Its description in RNAcentral is "partial 16S rRNA". It matches the Rfam family "Bacterial small subunit ribosomal RNA", at positions 358 to 511 of the family's 1533-position model. The record is from RNAcentral.
GGAAUCUUCCACAAUGGACGCAAGUCUGAUGGAGCAACGCCGCGUGAGUGAAGAAGGUCUUCGGAUCGUAAAGCUCUGUUGUUAGAGAAGAACACGAGUGAGAGUAACUGUUCAUUCGAUGACGGUAUCUAACCAGCAAGUCACGGCUAACUACGUGCCAG